Cucurbita pepo subsp. pepo (vegetable marrow) is the source of this 716-nucleotide non-coding RNA. Lineage: Eukaryota; Viridiplantae; Streptophyta; Magnoliopsida; Cucurbitales; Cucurbitaceae. The record is from RefSeq and is a predicted model, not a curated record.
AAUAAUGAUAAAGCAUAUCAAAAUGGUCUAAAAAUGCUUUAAAGCGUUUCCUUUGAAAGCCAGAAAAUUAUGCAAAAGUGAAGAUUUUCUUCAAGUAUUUUAGCUCGUGUUUGCACAGAUUGAAUUAGAAGCCAAAACAGACGAGCCUGGUUCACCGUUACGUGCUCCUACAACGGAACGUGGGCUUGACACAGCUUGCAAAGAUACUUGUUUUGGUAUCUUGAAAUUGCAAAUGUGGGAACGAAGAUUUGAUGGCAGCAAGGGCAAGAUUGUAUUGGAUGUCACAAGUAACAUGGCGGCAUUGGAAGUUGGAGGAGGGCCUUGGUUUAACACCUGGAAGGGAGAAACUACCACCCCGGAGAUCCUCAAGCGUGCUCUUACAACACCUAUUGAUGUGGAACAAGCUUUUAACUUGCUUCCACUCUUCAAACCUCCUGGCUUGUAGACGACAAUUACGACAAUUACUGCACGUUGUGCUGUGGAAGGAAUGAAACGAACCAUCAAGGUCGUGCUGGUUCAGGCAACCUUCGUAGCCUAUAGUUUAGUCCUCGAACUUCUAAAGUUUUCACGAACAAUUUGCAGGGUAGAGCUACUUUUCUAUGUUUGAGUUCAGCUCAUUUUUAGUUAAAAACAUGUGAAAAAUAGUUUUUAAUUGGGAAGCAUAUAUAAAUAUCAACUCUCGUGGACCUUGAAUGGUUGUUAUUAUAAUUGUUAGA